Molecule: long non-coding RNA, 1045 nt
Organism: Gadus macrocephalus (Pacific cod)
Lineage: Eukaryota; Metazoa; Chordata; Actinopteri; Gadiformes; Gadidae
Exons: 2
Source: RefSeq, a predicted model, not a curated record
CUGUGGCUGAGCGACGCGGGCGGGACAUUCCCCUGGCCGCUCUGAACAACUGUUGCCUCACUUUCAGCGACGGCAGCAGCGAAGCGCACCACCAGUCCGUCCGCGUUCACAGUCACCUCUACCUCGGGCAUUGCGAUGACAGUUUCCUCCAGGGCUGGGCCGUCAUGGGCACCGGAGGAAAGGAAAGGGUCCCUAACAAACCCAAAGACUGCAGAGUUCGUGAAUGACAUUGAUCGCUCCUCGCCGUCUCUGCCAACCACAAUGAGCACUCCUGAGUAGGUGAUAAUAUAUGCUGCUGUGCGCUGGAGGACGGAGCAGCCCUGGCAGCGUCGCGGGGACAACAGCCACUUUGUCUUGGCCGGCUUGGCAUCUUGGGCACCUGGGCUUGGCCACGAUCUGGACCCCAGUCACCAGCCGGCGCAGAUUCUCCUCAGCCCUGACGGUCAUCAAACUGAGGGAAGAGGGCUGCCCUAUUUCCGCGGUGGUCGUGACCACUGUAGAGGGUGUGGUGGUCAACACAGUCCGGUCACCCUCCUUUCUAGUGGUCAAGGAGUGGAAAGAAUAGCACUUUCCCAACUGCACUGAGGAUCAGCCGGUCCCACACAGUCAUCGCCGUCUGUCCCGUCCUAUCGCACACCUCGAAGGUCAGCUCCACUGGCGCGCCUUGGACCUGCACCACCUUGUUCGCAAUAACCUGCAGGACCCUGACCUAGGGUGACCAGAUCACAAUUCACAAGAUGUGGGACAAUGACUACGUUUGUGUGGGACAAUGUGGGAUACCAAUGCAUCGAGGAGUGAGCCGGAGGCGACCGGAGGACCCCCGCAGACCCCGAGGGCGGGCCUGACCAGGGGGACCCCCACCCUGAUACAGCGCUCCCCCAGAAGGUCUGAGUCCAGGGGGUCCAGGAGCGUCUCGUGGCCCUGCGGUCCUCCGGGACGGUUUAUUUAUCUGUACUUUUUGUACCUGAUGGAAGUCUGUUCUCUUUCCCUACCAGAGUUUUGUACUUUGUUGAUAAUAAUAAUUAAUAAAUAUUUAUUACAAUUA